UGGGAACGAGAAGACACUUGUGGAGGCGUCA
RNAcentral lists this non-coding RNA (31 nucleotides) under Homo sapiens (human). Lineage: Eukaryota; Metazoa; Chordata; Mammalia; Primates; Hominidae. The record is from RNAcentral.